GAACGGCAGCAUGGCGUGUAGCAAUACAUGCUGAUGGCGAGUGGCGGACGGGUGAGAAACGCGUAGGAACCUGCCCUUGAGAGUGGGACAACCCGAGGAAACUCGGGCUAAUACCGCAUGAUCUCGAAAGAGCAAAGGCUGGGUAGCAAUACCUGGAGCUUGAGGAGGGGCCUGCGUCCGAUUAGCUAGUUGGUUAGGUAAAAGCUGACCAAGGCGAUGAUCGGUAGCUGGUCUGAGAGGAUGAUCAGCCACACUGGGACUGAGACACGGCCCAGACUCCUACGGGAGGCAGCAGUGGGGAAUAUUGGACAAUGGGGGCAACCCUGAUCCAGCAAUGCCGCGUGUGUGAAGAAGGCCUUCGGGUUGUAAAGCACUUUAGGCUGGGAGGAAGGCGUGGGGUUUAAGAGAUCCCAUGAUUGACUGUACCAGAAGAAUAAGCACCGGCUAACUCUGUG
This 455-nucleotide ribosomal RNA is filed under the name uncultured bacterium. RNAcentral describes it as "bacterial SSU rRNA". It matches the Rfam family "Bacterial small subunit ribosomal RNA", at positions 64 to 507 of the family's 1533-position model. The record is from RNAcentral.